UUUCCGGUUGAUCCCGCCGGACCUGACUGCUAUCGGAUUGAUACUAAGCCAUGCGAGUCUUUGUAGUAAUACAAGGCAGACGGCCCAGUAACACGUAGUCAACCUACCCUAUGGACGAGAAUAAUCUCGGGAAACUGAGCAUAAUUCUUGAUAGAUCAUAAUGCCUGGAAUGGUUUAUGGUUAAAAUGAUUCGUCGCCAUAGGAUGGGACUGCGGCCUAUCAGCUUGUUGGUGAGGUAAUGGCCCACCAAGGCGAUUACAGGUACGGGCUCUGAGAGGAGAAGCCCGGAGAUGGGUACUGAGACACGGACCCAGGCCCUAUGGGGCGCAGCAGGCGAGAAAACUUUGCAAUGUGCGAAAGCACGACAAGGUUAAUCCGAGUGAUUUCUGCUAAAGAAAUCUUUUGCCAGUCAUAAAACCACUGGUGAAUAAGGGGUGGGCAAGUUCUGGUGUCAGCCGCCGCGGUAAAACCAGCACCUCAAGUGGUCAGGAUGAUUAUUGGGCCUAAAGCAUCCGUAGCCGGCUUUGUAAGUUUUCGGUUAAAUCCUUGUGCUCAACGCAUGGGCUGCCGAAAAUACUGCAUGGCUAGGGAGUGGGAGAGGUAGACGGUACUCAAUAGGAAGGGGUAAAAUCCUUUGAUCUAUUGAUGACCACCUGUGGCG
RNAcentral lists this ribosomal RNA (661 nucleotides) under uncultured archaeon. RNAcentral describes it as "bacterial SSU rRNA". It matches the Rfam family "Archaeal small subunit ribosomal RNA", at positions 1 to 668 of the family's 1478-position model. The record is from RNAcentral.